AGAGAAGCAGGUGCCCCCACAGAUAACCCCACAAUCAGGCCGGCAGAAGCUGAAGCAGGCCUAACUGCGCCCCAGCACUGGGAAGAGCAGGGUCGCCAAGGGCCUUCGCACACCGUGUGUGGUUUGUUCCCACCUCUGGUUGUUUUUCAGUUAGAUCACUUCUCUGGUCUGGAAACUAUGCCUGUGGUGGAUGGGCAAUGGAGGAGAGCAAUGCUGGGGAAAAAUGACUGUUUUGUUCAACCUGAGAGCUAGAGGAAAAUGUUUGUCAGACUAGAGCAAAGGCUCUGAAUGAGCUGUGCAGGUCUAACACCUCACUGCUGCUAAUACAGGGAAGUCUUCAGUUCUGUUCCCCUUCCUGUUGCCAGCACCAUGUUACCACUACUUCCUUUCACAAUGGCUCUGGCACUUGUAAAAACCUUCCGUGACCUGAGACACCUUAAUCACCUGGCAGAAAAUAAAAUCAUUUUUAAAAAAAGUCAAUAAAUUUUAUGUGGGUUCAUGAGUAGAGCUGGAUCACAGGUGUCAGAUGUACAGCAGAGCUGGCAAACACAGAGAUGGGAUGACCUGGGGAUGAGGGUUGGAGAAAAAAAAUCAAGCUAGGGGAAGUCUGACACCUCAAUGGUCAGGAGUUGUUAGAUCAGCUGCUCAUCAAACCACACCCUCAGGGCCCCUUCUCAUAGCA
Long non-coding RNA from Oxyura jamaicensis (ruddy duck), 682 nucleotides. RefSeq lists it as uncharacterized. The transcript is spliced from 2 exons. NCBI's taxonomy places the organism in Eukaryota, Metazoa, Chordata, Aves, Anseriformes, Anatidae. The record is from RefSeq and is a predicted model, not a curated record.